GGACCCGCUGGAGAGUCCGGCCCCAUGGGGGAGAGAGGCCACCCGGGCCCCCCCGGCCCCCCGGGAGAACAAGGGCUGCCAGGACCGUCUGGCAAAGAGGGCACCAAGGGAGAUCCUGGCCCCACCGGCUCCCCCGGGAAGGACGGUCCCGCCGGCUUGCGGGGGUUCCCCGGUGAGCGGGGCCUGCCCGGCACCCCGGUGAGUAAAACCCCUCGCGGCACCGCGCUGACCCCCCCCCGGCUCCUCUCACCUUCCCGCAGGGCGGCCCAGGGCUGAAGGGCAACGAAGGACCAGCCGGACCCCCGGGGCCUGCGGUGAGUGUCGCCCUCUCGCCCGCCGCCCCUCGGCCCCGCGGCUCCCCUCCGCUUCAUCCUCCCUCUCCCGUCCCCAGGGCUCCCCCGGAGAGAGAGGCGGCCCCGGGCAAGGGGGCCCCGUCGGCCCCCCCGGGCGACCGGGACCGCAAGGGCCGCCGGGCCCCGCCGGAGAGAAAGGCGUCCCUGUGAGUAGCUGGGGGGGGGGGGGGGGGGGGGGGGGGGGGGGGGGGGGGGGGGGGGGGGGGGGGGGGGGGGGGGGGGGGGGGGGGGGGGGGACCGGAGCGGGGGCGCGGGGACGCUUGGGCCCUGCUCAGAGCCCCGAUGAGCGAAGGGGCGCGGAUGGGCGCCUGCACCCCCAACCCUCCCCUUUUCCUCUCCCCACAGGGUGAGAAAGGCCCCAUAGGCCCUGCCGGCCGCGAUGGCGUCCAGGGCCCCGUGGGUCUGCCGGGCCCAGCCGGCCCCCCCGGCGGCCCCGGCGAGGACGGUGACAAGGUGAGGUCCUGCCCCGGCCGUCCCCGUCCCGCCGUCCCCCGCCCCGACCGCACUUAACCGCCCCCCUCCUCCUCCCCGCAGGGCGAGGUGGGCGAGCCGGGCCAGAAGGGCAGCAAGGGCAACAAGGGCGAGCACGUGAGUACGGUGGCCUGCAGACCUCGGCCCCGAUGUCCCCCGUUGUCCCCCGGGGCCACCCCAGCCUCGCUCACCCCUGCUCUUCCUUGCAGGGUCCUCCCGGUCCUCCUGGGCCCAUCGGGCCGGUCGGGCAGCCCGGAGCAGCCGGUGCCGACGGGGAGCCGGGUGCCCGCGGCCCCCAGGGGCACUUCGGCGCCAAGGGCGACGAGGGAACGCGGGGCUUCAACGGCCCCCCCGGCCCCAUCGGCCUCCAGGUGGGCAGCGCGGAUCCGCCCGGCGCCCCGCGGUUACCCCCACCCGAGGUCCUCGGGGUGC
RNAcentral lists this long non-coding RNA (1256 nucleotides) under Dromaius novaehollandiae (emu). RNAcentral's name for it is "lncRNA (ENSDNVG00000012077.1)". Lineage: Eukaryota; Metazoa; Chordata; Aves; Casuariiformes; Dromaiidae. The record is from RNAcentral.